GAUGAACGCUGGCGGCGUGCCUAAUACAUGCCAGUCGAACGAAAAGACGAGGAGCUUGUUCCCUUGACGUUAGCGGCGGACGGGUGAGUAACACGUGGAUCACCUACUUCUAUGUCGGGGAUAAUUACGGGAAACCGGAGCUAAUACCAGAUCACAUGUUGAACCGCAUGGUUCAACGGAGAUAGACGGUCUUGCCGUCUGUUAUAGCUGGAUCCGGGCUGUAUUAGCUAGUUGGUAAGGUCACGGCUUACCAAGGCUACGAUGCGUAGCCGACCUGAGAGGAUGAUCGGCCACACUGGAACUGAGACACGGUCCAGACUCCUACGGGAGGCAGCAGUAGGGAAUCUUCGGCAAUGGGCGAAAGCCUGACGGAGCAACGCCGCGUGAGUGAAGAAGGUCUUCGGAUCGUAAAGCCCUGUUAUUAGGAAAGAACAAAUGUGGAAUGAACCAUGGACGUCUUGACGGUACCUAAUCAAAAAGCCACGGCUAACUACGUG
Molecule: ribosomal RNA, 497 nt
Filed under: uncultured bacterium
Lineage: Bacteria
Description: partial 16S ribosomal RNA
Rfam family: Bacterial small subunit ribosomal RNA
Source: RNAcentral